Molecule: ribosomal RNA, 810 nt
Filed under: uncultured Pseudomonadota bacterium
Lineage: Bacteria; Pseudomonadati; Pseudomonadota
Description: bacterial SSU rRNA
Rfam family: Bacterial small subunit ribosomal RNA
Source: RNAcentral
AAAGCCUCGCAAGAGGUAAGUAGAGUGGCAAACGGGUGNGUAACACGUGGGUGACCUGCCUUCGAGCGGGGGAUAACGUCCCGAAAGGGACGCUAAUACCGCAUGACAUCCUGUCUUUUAAGAGAUGGCGAUCAAAGCUGGGGAUCGCAAGACCUAGCACUCGAAGAGGGGCCCGCGUCCGAUUAGCUAGUUGGUGAGGUAACGGCUCACCAAGGCAACGAUCGGUAGCCGGCCUGAGAGGGCGGACGGCCACACUGGGACUGAGACACGGCCCAGACUCCUACGGGAGGCAGCAGUGGGGAAUUGUUCGCAAUGGGCGCAAGCCUGACGACGCAACGCCGCGUGGAGGAUGAAGGCCUUCGGGUCGUAAACUCCUUUCGAUCGAGACGAAAUCCCCUGGGGUGAACAAUCCCAGGGGUUGACGGUACCGAGAGAAGAAGCCCCGGCUAACUCCGUGCCAGCAGCCGCGGUAAUACGGGGGGGGCAAGCGUUGUUCGGAAUUACUGGGCGUAAAGGGCUCGUAGGCGGCCAACUAAGUCAGACGUGAAAUCCCUCGGCUUAACCGGGGAACUGCGUCUGAUACUGGAUGGCUAGAGUUUGGGAGAGGGAUGCGGAAUUCCAGGUGUAGCGGUGAAAUGCGUAGAUAUCUGGAGGAACACCGGUGGCGAAGGCGGCAUCCUGGACCAACACUGACGCUNAGGAGCGAAAGCCAGGGGAGCAAACGGGAUUAGAUACCCCGGUAGUCCUGGCCCUAAACGAUGAAUGCUUGGUGUGGCGGGUAUCGAUCCCUGUCGUGCCGAAGCUAACGCA